Molecule: long non-coding RNA, 432 nt
Organism: Alosa alosa (allis shad)
Lineage: Eukaryota; Metazoa; Chordata; Actinopteri; Clupeiformes; Clupeidae
Exons: 3
Source: RefSeq, a predicted model, not a curated record
GAUCUUUGCUGAAGGUGCUCGUACCUGUUAAUCUUGUGGUGUGUGAGGUGAUGGACCUGACGCAAUUUCCCCAAGGCAGGAGGACAAACAGGUUACAUUAUGGACGCCAAUACCAUUGGUGGGUCCCAAAAACUAAACAGACACAACAAGCGCUGUAUUUGCCCCUAUUUUAGUGGACACCAUUUUUUUACCAGGGAUGGUGUUUCAGUCCCGAAGAGACCAGCAGGUGGCGAUGUUCUCAGACACCAUGAGGAACCAGUCCGAGCUGUGAAGCCAGCAGCCGUGGAGACAGGUGGCCCUGUGUGCUACAGCUGUCCAUCGUUGCAUCCGAAAUGAUCUGCAAGGCCAAAAUAAAUUUUCUGACUUUUCUGCAGACUUCUGCCGAGAAAAUGUCAGAUAUACACCAUGUUUAAAGUAUUUCCACACCAAUUU